This 504-nucleotide ribosomal RNA is filed under the name uncultured bacterium. Its description in RNAcentral is "partial 16S ribosomal RNA". It matches the Rfam family "Bacterial small subunit ribosomal RNA", at positions 30 to 523 of the family's 1533-position model. The record is from RNAcentral.
AUUGAACGCUGGCGGCAGGCCUAACACAUGCAAGUCGAACGGUAGCACAGGGAGCUUGCUCUCGGGUGACGAGUGGCGGACGGGUGAGUAAUGUCUGGGAAACUGCCCGAUGGAGGGGGAUAACUACUGGAAACGGUAGCUAAUACCGCAUAACGUCGCAAGACCAAAGUGGGGGACCUUCGGGCCUCACACCAUCGGAUGUGCCCAGAUGGGAUUAGCUAGUAGGUGGGGUAAUGGCUCACCUAGGCGACGAUCCCUAGCUGGUCUGAGAGGAUGACCGGCCAAACUGAAACUGAAACACGGUCCAGACUCCUACGGGAGGCAGCAGUCGGGAAUAUUGCACAAUGGGCGACAGCCGGAUGCAGACAUGCCGCGUGUAUGAAGAAGGCCUUCGGGUUGUAAAGUACUUUCAGCGGGGAGGAAGGCGGUGGAGUUAAUAACUUCACCGAUUGACGUUACCCGCAGAAGAAGCACCGGCUAACUCCGUGCCAGCCGCCGCGGUAA